GAUGAACGCUGGCGGCGUGCCUAAUACAUGCAAGUCGAGCGAACGGACGAGAAGCUUUCUUCUCUUCUGUUAGCGGCGGACGGGUGAGUAACACGUGGCUAACCUACCUAUAAGACUGGGAUAACUUCGGGAAACCGGAGCUAAUACCGGAUAAUAUUUUGAACCGCAUGGUUCAAAAGUGAAAGACUGUCUUGCUGUCACUUAUAGAUGGAUCCGCGCUGCAUUAGCUAGUUGGUAAGGUAACGGCUUACCAAGGCAACGAUGCAUAGCCGACCUGAGAGGGUGAUCGGCCACACUGGAACUGAGACACGGUCCAGACUCCUACGGGAGGCAGCAGUAGGGAAUCUUCCGCAAUGGGCGAAAGCCUGACGGAGCAACGCCGCGUGAGUGAUGAAGGUCUUCGGAUCGUAAAACUCUGUUAUUAGGGAAGAACAUAUGUGUAAGUAACUGUGCACAUCUUGACGGUACCUAAUCAGAAAGCCACGGCUAACUACGUG
Molecule: ribosomal RNA, 497 nt
Filed under: uncultured bacterium
Lineage: Bacteria
Description: partial 16S ribosomal RNA
Rfam family: Bacterial small subunit ribosomal RNA
Source: RNAcentral